AUGUCCCAGUUUGAUAUGUACUCAGUUCUCGAUGUUCCAGUUUAAUAUGUACUCGGUUCUCGAUGUUCCAGUUUGAUAUGUACUCGGUUCUCGAUGUUCCAGUUUGAUAUGUACUCGGUUCUCGAUGUUCCAGUUUAAUAUGUACUCUGUUCUCGAUGUUCCGGUUUGAUAUGUACUCAGUUCUCGAUGUUCCAGUUUAAUAUGUACUCGGUUCUCGAUGUUCCAGUUUAAUAUGUACUCAGUUCUUUAUGUUCCGGUUUGAUAUGUACUCUGUUCUCGAUGUUCCGGUUUGAUAUGUACUCUGUUCUCGAUGUUCCGGUUUGAUAUGUACUCGGUUCUUGAUGUUCCAGUUUGAUAUGUACUCGGUUCUCGAUGUUCCAGUUUGAUAUGUACUCAGUUCUUUAUGUUCCGGUUUAAUAUGUACUCUGUUCUCGAUGUUCCAGUUUGAUAUGUACUCUGUUCUCGAUGUUCUGGUUUGAUAUGUACUCGGUUCUUGAUGUUCCAGUUUGAUAUGUACUCAGUUCUCGAUGUUCCCAGUUUGAUAUGUACUCGGUUCUCGAUGUUCCCGUUUAAUAUGUACUCGGUUCUCGAUGUUCCCAGUUGCCUAUAUUCCCAAAUCUCUAUGGUCCCAGUUCCCAGUAAGCCCAGUUCCAUAUGUUUCCAGUUUGUCUGUCCGCAGUGUCACGUGUUCUCCGUGUUCUCCGUGUUCUCCGUGUUCUCGGGUCGCUCUGUGAACACGCUCGGUGUUUUGGGAGCUUUCAGGUUUCUGAUUUCUUUUCUUUUUUUUCUUUUUUCUUUUUUUCUUUCUCAAUUUCAGCCUCAAAAAACUCCAAAAUUGCAAGAAAGUUUCUGAGCCGUUUGUCCAGAUCGUUAAAAUCUCCUCGGUUCUGGGAAUAAGCCGAGUCGGAUGGAGAGCCUUGAACAAUGUGGAGUUAUUUGUGACUCGGAGCAGUGGAAGUGGAAGCGCGAGGUUAGCAGGCAGUCGGUCAAUGGCAGGAACUUCCCCGUUUUUAGGGCAGGAAGUGUUGUGAUUGAGCCGACAUAACGGACCCUGGAGUUACUUCCUGUGUGUGUGUGUGUGUGUGUGUGUGUGUGUGUGUGUGUGUGUGUGUGUGUGUGCAGUUACACACCGUGUCCAGCAGGUGAGGACAGAGGACACUGAGGGAGAGGAGAUGAAAUGGACUGAUUUGAAUCCCCAAUUCCUAUAUAUAUAGUGUCUUAUAUUUCCAGUUCCCUUUGUUCCCAUUUCUCUACGCCUGCAGUUCCCUAUAUUCCCAGUUCCC
Long non-coding RNA from Ictalurus punctatus (channel catfish), 1283 nucleotides. NCBI's taxonomy places the organism in Eukaryota, Metazoa, Chordata, Actinopteri, Siluriformes, Ictaluridae. The record is from Ensembl.